UUAAGUUCAGCGGGUAUCCCUACCUGAUCCGAGGUCAUAUUGGUGACAAUUGUGAUCGCAGGGACCACCAGGCAUGCCGUAGCGAAUGUUACAUGUACUACGCUCGGUACCUGGCAGCACCGCCACUGCUUUUGGAGCACCCGGCGGAACCGGGACGCUCAAGACACGCUACGCGUGAGGGUUGAGGUGACGCUCGAACA
Molecule: unclassified non-coding RNA, 200 nt
Filed under: uncultured Cyttaria
Lineage: Eukaryota; Fungi; Ascomycota; Leotiomycetes; Helotiales; Cyttariaceae
Description: sequence contains ITS2
Source: RNAcentral